RNAcentral lists this ribosomal RNA (391 nucleotides) under uncultured eukaryote. RNAcentral's name for it is "SSU rRNA". It matches the Rfam family "Eukaryotic small subunit ribosomal RNA", at positions 592 to 985 of the family's 1831-position model. The record is from RNAcentral.
CAAUAGCGUAUAUUAAAGUUGUUGCGGUUAAAAGCUCGUAGUUGGAUUUCUGCUGAGGACGACCGGUCCGCCCUCUGGGUGAGUAUCUGGCUUGGCCUUGGCAUCUUCUUGGAGAACGUAGCUGCACUUGACUGUGUGGUGCGGUAUCCAGGACUUUUACUUUGAGGAAAUUAGAGUGUUUCAAGCAGGCACACGCCUUGAAUACAUUAGCAUGGAAUAAUAAGAUAGGACCUUGGUUCUAUUUUGUUGGUUUCUAGAGCUGAGGUAAUGAUUAAUAGGGAUAGUUGGGGGCAUUCGUAUUUAAUUGUCAGAGGUGGAAUUCUCGGAUUUGUUAAAGACUAAACUUAUGCGAAAGCAUUUGCCAAGGAUGUUUUCAUUAAAUCAAGAAACG